Kwoniella sp. DSM 27419 is the source of this 86-nucleotide non-coding RNA. The record is from the annotation of a GenBank genome assembly. NCBI's taxonomy places the organism in Eukaryota, Fungi, Basidiomycota, Tremellomycetes, Tremellales, Cryptococcaceae.
UCCUUUGUAGUACAGUGGUUAGUAUGUGCGCUUUUCACUUGUGAACGAUCACGCGCCAGACCCGAGUUCGAACCUCGGCAAGGGAA